Molecule: long non-coding RNA, 221 nt
Filed under: Elaeis guineensis (African oil palm)
Lineage: Eukaryota; Viridiplantae; Streptophyta; Magnoliopsida; Arecales; Arecaceae
Description: long non-coding RNA (EGUI_LNC058025)
Source: RNAcentral
AUCACCACAGUGACUUACAAGCAACUCACUGUACUUUGAUGUUAGACUAACUGAGUUUCUAAUUCAGUGAUGAAAGAUUUUUGGGUGCAUUCAAAUACUUGUCAAGUCAGUACGUGAGUCAAGAUGAGAUUGACCCCUCCGAAUUAGUAAAAAUUAAUGUAUCAAUAUAUUUCAAUUUAACAAAAUUUGACUCAGAUAAUUUAUGUGAUGGAUUUGAAAGA